AGAGUUUGAUCCUGGCUCAGGAUGAACGCUAGCGGCAGGCUUAACACAUGCAAGUCGAGGGGUAACAGGUUUUAGUUUACUAGAAUGCUGACGACCGGCGCACGGGUGAGUAACGCGUAUACAAUUUACCUUUUACAGGAGAAUAGCCCAGAGAAAUUUGGAUUAAUGCUCCAUGGUAUUAUUUGAUCACCUGAUCGAGUAAUUAAAGCUUCGGCGGUAAAAGAUGAGUAUGCGUCCUAUUAGCUGGAUGGUAAGGUAACGGCUUACCAUGGCGACGAUAGGUAGGGGUCCUGAGAGGGAGAUCCCCCACACUGGUACUGAGACACGGACCAGACUCCUACGGGAGGCAGCAGUGAGGAAUAUUGGGCAAUGGAGGCAACUCUGACCCAGCCAUGCCGCGUGCAGGAAGACGGCCCUAUGGGUUGUAAACUGCUUUUAUAUAGGAAGAAACUUAUCCACGUGUGGAUAACUGACGGUACUAUAAGAAUAAGCACCGGCUAACUCCGUGCCAGCAGCCGCGGUAAUACGGAGGGUGCAAGCGUUAUCCGGAAUCAUUGGGUUUAAAGGGUCCGUAGGCGGGCAAUUAAGUCAGAGGUGAAAUCCCACAGCUCAACUGUGGAACUGCCUUUGAUACUGGUUGUCUUGAGUAUAGUUGAAGUGGGCGGAAUGUGUCAUGUAGCGGUGAAAUGCAUAGAUAUGACACAGAACACCAAUCGCGAAGGCAGCUCACUAAACUACUACUGACGCUCAGGCACGAAAGCGUGGGGAGCGAACAGGAUUAGAUACCCUGGUAGUCCACGCCGUAAACGAUGAUUACUCGUUGUUGGCGAUACACAGUCAGCGACUGAACGAAAGUAUUAAGUAAUCCACCUGGGGAGUACGAUCGCAAGGUUGAAACUCAAAGGAAUUGACGGGGGCCCGCACAAGCGGAGGAGCAUGUGGUUUAAUUCGAUGAUACGCGAGGAACCUUACCUGGGCUCAAACGUAGAGUGACCAUCUGUGAAAGCAGAUUUUCCUUCGGGACAGUCUACGAGGUGCUGCAUGGUUGUCGUCAGCUCGUGCCGUGAGGUGUCGGGUUAAGUCCCAUAACGAGCGCAACCCCUAUUCUUAGUUGCCAUCAGGUAAUGCUGGGGACUCUAAGAAAACUGCCUACGCAAGUAGUGAGGAAGGUGGGGAUGACGUCAAAUCAGCACGGCCCUUACGUCCAGGGCUACACACGUGCUACAAUGGUCGAUACAGAGGGCAGCUACCAUGUGAAUGGAUGCAAAUCUCGAAAAUCGAUCUCAGUUCGGAUCGAAGUCUGCAACUCGACUUCGUGAAGUUGGAUUCGCUAGUAAUCGCGCAUCAGCCAUGGCGCGGUGAAUACGUUCCCGGGCCUUGUACACACCGCCCGUCAAGCCAUGGAAGCUGGGGGUACCUGAAGUUCGUGACCGCAAGGAGCGACCUAGGGUAAAACUAGUAACUGGGGCUAAGUCGUAACAAGGUAACC
Molecule: ribosomal RNA, 1489 nt
Filed under: uncultured prokaryote
Description: partial 16S ribosomal RNA
Rfam family: Bacterial small subunit ribosomal RNA
Source: RNAcentral